UUUGGGUUCGGGGUUUGCCCGCAGAAGCCUGAGAUGAUUCCCUGCGUUACGUCGGAGGUGGAUUUAGCCUCUUAACACUCCGGGCAAGGAAAACCUCACCCUGAAGAUCUCAGGGCUCCGGAGGGAGCGGCUGGCACGAACACACACACACACACACACACACCCCCCCACAGCCUAGUACAGGGGAAGGUGUCUCUGCCCAGGGCAGAGGUGGAACGAGAUGAGCUUUCAGGUCCCUUCCAACCCAAACCAUCCUGGGAUUCCGGGAUUCCAAGGUUCAGAGCGGGCAUGCGGGGCAGGAUCGUGGCGGGGCUGAUUCCAGCGGCCGGUUCGCAGCUCCCGCCGACUCCCAGCGAGCGGCGCUGCCGAGCCGGGAAAGCCGUGGAGCGGCGGGGAGGAGGCGCUGGCGGGGCCGGGGGACACCGACGGGUCCCGAGCCCAGCCCCGGGCCGGUCCCGCCUGCCCGUUUUCGGAGUGGUUUGGGCUGUAAAUCCGGGCAGCUCCGGGCUGUGGAGCCCGUCUGUGCCCUCGAUUGUCUCAGCAAGUGUUGGGGACGCCCUUGCACCCACCGCGGUGCUCAUCCCCCCGCUGUCUCAGAGCUGGGGGUGCGGGUUGGGCACCCCGAUCCCGGGCGGUGACAGCAACUCGGGGACACAUCCUGAAUUAUAGCUGGUCCCAGCCCUGGCCGCACCAUCCCUGCUGCGUGGAUGCUUCCAAGGACUUAAAUGCUCCAGCAGCCAUCUGAGGUGCCCAGAAACCCGCACAUUCCCCGGGAUAAGCCAAAUUUAUCCCCAGCGAGGACAGGUUGUUGGCUACAUCAUGACAGCCCCAUUAUCACCUUAAAUCCAAAGCAAUCAGCUUUUUACUUGCAAAGGGCUGGGAGCUUGUGGACCCCCACCCUGCCAAGCUCUUCUGCUGUGUCUGCAAGGACGGAGCUCGUUUUGGAGGGGCUUGUGGAGGGACCCCGAUUCCCAGCCACCGCUGGCACUCCAAGGACCCCAAGGUGCCCACCAACAGGGCUGUUCUGAACCUCAGCCAAGCCCACCAACAGCAUCACUUUGCCUUGGGGAAGCAGCAGCAACACUCUAACCAAGACCAAAUCACUGGACCUCCUCCUGGGCUCUUGCCAAGGCAAAGAAACUCCAGCCACGUUUUGGGGAUGUACCGGAUGCCAAAGACGCAGUGGACGUAGUUCCAGAUGGCCCGGCGCAGCAUGGAGGUGUCCACGCCGCAGUGCAUGGCGAUGGUGUUGUAGGUCAGGUUGUAAACCACCUGGAACUUCUCAUCCAGGAGCUGCCCCACAUCCGGGUACAGGCGGUUGAUCAGCGAGUAGCCAUGGUCCUCCCAGGUGUAAUCCUGAUGGAGAAAGGAUGCUGGGGCUCUGCCAGUGGGAGGAAGCAUAGCCAGGACACGUGACCCAAACUGACCACAAAGAUAUUCCACACCAGAGAACGUCAUGCCCAGUAUAUAAACUGGGGGGAGUUACCUGGAAGGGGCCAAUCUGGGUUUGGGAAGACGGCUCUGGCAUCGGUCAGCAGACACUGAGCAAUUGCAUUGUGCAUCACUUGUUUUUUCCAUUUUCAUUGUCAUUAUUAUCAUUUACCAUUAUUAUUGUAUUUUACUUUAUUUUCAAUAAUUAAACUGUUCUUACCUCAGCAUACAAGUUUU
Corvus hawaiiensis (hawaiian crow) is the source of this 1668-nucleotide long non-coding RNA. RefSeq lists it as uncharacterized. Lineage: Eukaryota; Metazoa; Chordata; Aves; Passeriformes; Corvidae. The record is from RefSeq and is a predicted model, not a curated record. The transcript is spliced from 3 exons.